CCUACGGGAGGCAGCAGUGGGGAAUAUUGCACAAUGGGGGAAACCCUGAUGCAGCAACGCCGCGUGAAGGAAGACGGUUUUCGGAUUGUAAACUUCUAUCAAUAGGGAAGAAAGAAAUGACGGUACCGAAAUAAGAAGCAUAGGCUAACUACGUGCCAGCAGCCGCGGUAAUACGUCGGGGGCAAGCGUUAUCCGGAAUUACUGGGUGUAACGGGAGAGUAGGCGGCAAGGUAAGAGAUAGGUGAAAGCCUUACGCUUAACUUCAGGAGGGGAUAACGAACUAUCUAGCUAGCGUACAGGAGAGGCAAGCGGAAUUCCUAGUGUAGCGGUUAAAUGCGUAGAUAUU
This 346-nucleotide ribosomal RNA is filed under the name uncultured bacterium. Its description in RNAcentral is "partial 16S ribosomal RNA". It matches the Rfam family "Bacterial small subunit ribosomal RNA", at positions 338 to 698 of the family's 1533-position model. The record is from RNAcentral.